AGUGGAGGCGAACCGGCGAACUAGAAACAUCUAAGUAGCCGGAGGAACAGAAAUCAACCGAGAUUCCUAAGUAGUGGCGAGCGAACAGGGACCAGCCUGCAAGAGAUAACUAGUGUGUUAGUGGAACGCUCUGGAAAGUGCGGCCAUAGUGGGUGAUAGCCCCGUACGCGAAAAACACAUUAGCGAGACUGAGCUUGCGACAAGUAGGGCGGGACACGUGAAAUCCUGUCUGAAGAUGGGGGGACCAUCCUCCAAGGCUAAAUACUCGUAAUCGACCGAUAGUGAACCAGUACCGUGAGGGAAAGGCGAAAAGAACCCCGGGAGGGGAGUGAAAUAGAUCCUGAAACCGCAUGCAUACAAACAGUGGGAGCCUCGCAAGGGGUGACUGCGUACCUUUUGUAUAAUGGGUCAGCGACUUACGUUCUGUAGCGAGCUUAACCGAAUAGGGGAGGCGUAGCGAAAGCGAGUCUGAUAA
RNAcentral lists this ribosomal RNA (475 nucleotides) under uncultured bacterium. RNAcentral describes it as "bacterial LSU rRNA". It matches the Rfam family "Bacterial large subunit ribosomal RNA", at positions 173 to 689 of the family's 2925-position model. The record is from RNAcentral.